AAAAUAUGUCCGGAGGACAUUGUCUGGUCAGUAGUUUGUAUCUCUCCCAAGCUUCAUAAAAGGUCUCACUAUCCUUCUGUUUGAAGGUCUGAACCUCCACCCUAAGCUU
Molecule: small nucleolar RNA, 109 nt
Organism: Arachis stenosperma
Lineage: Eukaryota; Viridiplantae; Streptophyta; Magnoliopsida; Fabales; Fabaceae
Source: RefSeq, a predicted model, not a curated record